AAAAAAACAAACCCUGGUUUUCCGUAUCCAACGUUUGACCGUCCGUCUUAUUUAAAAAAAUUAUAAAAAAAAUUAAAAAGACAAGUCACGCAUAAAGUAUUAAUUAUGUUUUAUCAUCCAACAACAAUAAAAUUACUAAUUAUAAAAAAAAUUCAUAUAAGACGGACAGUUAAACAUUGGACAUGGAAACCCAAGAUUUGUCUUUUU
Molecule: non-coding RNA, 207 nt
Organism: Oryza glumipatula
Lineage: Eukaryota; Viridiplantae; Streptophyta; Magnoliopsida; Poales; Poaceae
Source: Rfam